GACGAACGCUGGCGGCGUGCCUAAUACAUGCAAGUUGAGCGCUGAAGGUUGGUACUUGUACCAACUGGAUGAGCAGCGAACGGGUGAGUAACGCGUGGGGAAUCUGCCUCUGAGCGGGGGACAACAUUUGGAAACGAAUGCUAAUACCGCAUAAAAACUUUAAACACAAGUUUUAAGUUUGAAAGAUGCAAUUGCAUCACUCAAAGAUGAUCCCGCGUUGUAUUAGCUAGUUGGUGAGGUAAAGGCUCACCAAGGCGAUGAUACAUAGCCGACCUGAGAGGGUGGUCGGCCAAAUUGGGACUGAGAAACGGCCCAAACUCCUACGGGAGGCAGCAGUAGGGAAUCUUCGGCAAUGGACGAAAGUCUGACCGAGCAACGCCGCGUGAGUGAAGAAGGUUUUCGGAUCGUAAAACUCUGUUGGUAGAGAAGAACGUUGGUGAGAGUGGAAAGCUCAUCAAGUGACGGUAACUACCCAGAAAGGGACGGCUAACUACGUG
Molecule: ribosomal RNA, 497 nt
Filed under: uncultured bacterium
Lineage: Bacteria
Description: partial 16S ribosomal RNA
Rfam family: Bacterial small subunit ribosomal RNA
Source: RNAcentral